GGAGCGGCGAACGGCUGCGUAACACGUUGGUACCUACCCCGAACUCAGGGAUAACAUCGAGAAAUCGGUGCUAAUACCGGAUAGUCCCGUGAGGGUAAAGAUUUAUCGGUUCGGGAGGGGCCUGCGGCAUAUCAGCUUGUUGGUAAGGUAAAGGCUUACCAAGGCUAUGACGUGUAGCUGGUUUGAGAGAACGACCAGCCAGAAUGGGACUGAGACACGGCCCAUACUCC
Molecule: ribosomal RNA, 230 nt
Filed under: uncultured bacterium
Lineage: Bacteria
Description: partial 16S ribosomal RNA
Rfam family: Bacterial small subunit ribosomal RNA
Source: RNAcentral